This is a long non-coding RNA of Oncorhynchus kisutch (coho salmon), 855 nucleotides long. RefSeq lists it as uncharacterized. The transcript has 3 exons. The record is from RefSeq and is a predicted model, not a curated record. Lineage: Eukaryota; Metazoa; Chordata; Actinopteri; Salmoniformes; Salmonidae.
AUUUGGGUCAGAUAACUCACACCGGAAUCAGCCCGAGCCCCAAGUAAUGCAUUUGGGCCAGAUAACUCACACCGGAUUCGGCCCGAGCUCAAUCCCCGCAUCCUCGGGCCACAUGAUUUCGGCCGAGUCUGACUCAGCCGAGUGCCCCGACACACAGCCGGAAUCCGCCCAGAUCCACUGUGCUAGCUGGGGUGGGACAAUAUUCCACAGGCCACAAUCGACAGCUUGAUCAACACUAUGCAAAGGAGAAGUGUCCCAGAGAAGGAGCAGCAGCAGCAGGAGCAGCAGCAGGAGAGGGCAGGAGCAGCAACAGCAGCAGGAGCAGCAGGAGAGGGCAGGAGCAGCAGCAGCAGCUACCCCCUUCUCAUGUAAUGGGGUAGGGCCAACCCAAGGAUCCCGAAAUGCACGGACUGUGUUAGUGGGGGAACAGGAAGUUCCCGACAGGCACGCACCAUUCUUCAGAAUUUUAAAAAAGCGCCAGAACUGUGCAGUUAAGAAGGUAUGAGGCUAGUAACAUCAACAGUGAGGACAAACCCAGCCCUCCUCUCUCCUUCUGCACUGAGUCCAAACCUACAGUCGCUGGGUCCUGAUUGCGACAGUGGAGCCCAGUUUGCACUGCAGGGUCCAGAGAUGGCAUCAGUGAAGUUGGAGGACUGCAGUCAAACCCUGGAGCUGAAUGUCAACAUUAAAGAUGAAGAAGAGGAGGAGAAGAUUGGGACAUCUGUUUCUCAUGUACUUGCCGACUCUGGUAUGAGGCCGGUAACAUCAACAGUGAGGACAAACGCAGGCCUCCUCUCUCCUUCCACACUGACUCUAAACCUACAGUCACUGGGUCCUGAUUGUGACAGUGGAGCC